CCCUUAGAUGUUCUGGGCCGCACGCGUGCUACACUGAGUCAUUCAAUGGGUAAGGGAACGCUAGAGCAUUACCUAAUCUUGAAAUUUGCUCGUGAUGGGGAUCGACGGUUGCAAUUUUCCGUCGUGAACGAGGAAUACCUUGUAGGCGCAUGUCAUCAUCAUGCGCCGAAUACGUCCCUGCCCUUUGUACACACCGCCCGUCGCUCCUACCGAUUGAGUGAUCCGGUGAGGCUCUGGGACCUGGACGGAAAGAGCGUUUCGCUUGUUCUGUUUGGGAAACUUGGUCGAACCUUAUCAUUUAGAGGAAGGAGAAGGCGUAACA
RNAcentral lists this ribosomal RNA (322 nucleotides) under uncultured eukaryote. Its description in RNAcentral is "partial 18S ribosomal RNA". It matches the Rfam family "Eukaryotic small subunit ribosomal RNA", at positions 1470 to 1796 of the family's 1831-position model. The record is from RNAcentral.